Phoenix dactylifera (date palm) is the source of this 727-nucleotide non-coding RNA. The record is from RefSeq and is a predicted model, not a curated record. NCBI's taxonomy places the organism in Eukaryota, Viridiplantae, Streptophyta, Magnoliopsida, Arecales, Arecaceae.
AAUUGUUCAUGCUUGCUUUGCGCCGCCAUACAUACAUCGCAGCUUCGACGCAGUCUGCAAUAUCAAGUGCUUCAUGCUCGGAAGUUAUAUCAAGACAAUCAAGAAGAUAAUCAGGGCAGAACUUGUCUGGAGUUGAUACGCGGCGAUAGAUAGAAUCUCCUACACUCGAUCGCCCACUCUGAAGAACAAAAGGCAAUUUUCAGCUAUAAGAAUUUUAAUUACAGCCCUUUCACUUCUUUACAAUCAGAUAAGAAUAGCAGUAGAAUAGACAUAAGUCUUGAAGGGUGAGAUUAGAUCAUUUUGCUACAAAGGGUGUCUGGGCAUUGGAUUCUGUGAGAUAAAGGCUAGGUGAUCCAUUAAGCAUAUGAUGUUUGUGGCAACUUUUGAAUUAUAUACCUUUGGAAGUGCUGCAAGCUCCUUCCGUGAUCUCUCGGGGAGGCCGGAUGCAGGAACACAUGGAACAGGCAGCCACCAUUUUUCGUCAUCCCGAUGAAUCACCUGCCUGAAUGACCUUGAGGUACAGGCAAUCGAUGAUUGCUUCCCUUCGUCGACAUACCAGAAUUCUGUGUUCUGGAAGCUGUCCAAUAUUUCCUGCAGUAAAUUUUGGUACCCAAUGAGCUAAGUCCACAAAUAUUUUAUAAUUUUUUUAAAAAAAUAUGUAACUGUAUUGAAUCUUUUUGAUACAUGAAGUCCGUGCCAAUAAUACAUAUCAUAACAAAGUGCUGAU